This 501-nucleotide ribosomal RNA is filed under the name uncultured bacterium. RNAcentral describes it as "partial 16S ribosomal RNA". It matches the Rfam family "Bacterial small subunit ribosomal RNA", at positions 30 to 523 of the family's 1533-position model. The record is from RNAcentral.
AUUGAACGCUGGCGGCAGGCUUAACCCAUGCAAGUCGAGCGGGGGAAGGUAGCUUGCUACCGGACCUAGCGGCGGACGGGUGAGUAAUGCUUAGGAAUCUGCCUAUUAGUGGGGGAUAACAUCUCGAAAGGGAUGCUAAUACCGCAUACGUCCUACGGGAGAAAGCAGGGGAUCUUCGGACCUUGCGCUAAUAGAUGAGCCUAAGUCGGAUUAGCUAGUUGGUGGGGUAAAGGCCUACCAAGGCGCCGAUCUGUAGCGGGUCUGAGAGGAUGAGCCGCCACGCUGGGAAUGAGAAACGGCCCAGACUCCUACGGGAGGCAGCAGUGGGGAAUAUUGGACAAUGGGUGGAACCCUGAUCCAGCCAGGCCGCGUGUGUGAAGAAGGCCUUAUGGUUGUAAAGGACUUUAAGCGAGGAGGAGCCUACUCUAGUUAAUACCUAGGGAUAGUGGACGUUACUCGCAGAAUAAGCACCGGCUAACUCUGUGCCAGCAGCCGCCGUAA